GAGCCUCACCUGGGCCCAGGAGCGGUUCAGCAGGUGGUGCCUGUCCCUGACCCCAUUUUCAGUGCCCAAAACUCCAUUUUUGCUCCAUUUUUUCACCUUUUAACCCCAUUUUUUCCCCUUUUAACCCCGUUUUUUCCCCUUUUCACCCCAUUUUUCCACGUUCCACCUGCCCAGGUGAGCCUCACCUGUGCCCAGGAGCGGUUGAGCAGGUGCAGGGUGGCGUCGUCGGUGGCCUGGCGCUUCUCGAGCUUCUCGAUGCGCUCGCGGAGCUCGUCCUCGCAGAGCUGGCGCUGCUCCAGCCGCUCGGCCAGCUUCUUGUUCCGGAACUGCAGAACCUUCAGGUCCAUCUCCUCCUGCACAGGUGAGACAGGUGAGACAGGUGAGACAGGUGAGACAGGUGAGAUACAGGUGAGACAGGUGAGACAGACACAGACAGGUGUGACAGGUGAGACACAGACAGGUGACACAGGUGUGACACAGCUUCUUGUUCCGGAACUGGAGCACCUUCAGGUCCAUCUCCUCCUGCACAGGUGAGAUACAGACAGGUGAGACAGGUGUGACA
RNAcentral lists this long non-coding RNA (562 nucleotides) under Chloebia gouldiae (Gouldian finch). RNAcentral's name for it is "Erythrura gouldiae (Gouldian finch) lncRNA (ENSEGOG00005018262.1)". Lineage: Eukaryota; Metazoa; Chordata; Aves; Passeriformes; Passeridae. The record is from RNAcentral.